This 220-nucleotide ribosomal RNA is filed under the name Salmonella enterica subsp. enterica serovar Infantis. RNAcentral describes it as "partial 16S ribosomal RNA". It matches the Rfam family "Bacterial small subunit ribosomal RNA", at positions 1 to 219 of the family's 1533-position model. RNAcentral also lists the same sequence under 24 other names. Lineage: Bacteria; Pseudomonadati; Pseudomonadota; Gammaproteobacteria; Enterobacterales; Enterobacteriaceae. The record is from RNAcentral.
AAAUUGAAGAGUUUGAUCAUGGCUCAGAUUGAACGCUGGCGGCAGGCCUAACACAUGCAAGUCGAACGGUAGCACAGAGAGCUUGCUCUCGGGUGACGAGUGGCGGACGGGUGAGUAAUGUCUGGGAAACUGCCUGAUGGAGGGGGAUAACUACUGGAAACGGUGGCUAAUACCGCAUAACGUCGCAAGACCAAAGAGGGGGACCUUCGGGCCUCUUGCC